RNAcentral lists this ribosomal RNA (253 nucleotides) under Listeria monocytogenes. RNAcentral describes it as "partial 16S ribosomal RNA". It matches the Rfam family "Bacterial small subunit ribosomal RNA", at positions 59 to 300 of the family's 1533-position model. The record is from RNAcentral. Lineage: Bacteria; Bacillati; Bacillota; Bacilli; Caryophanales; Listeriaceae.
AAGUCGAACGAACGGAGGAAGAGCUUGCUCUUCCAAAGUUAGUGGCGGACGGGUGAGUAACACGUGGGCAACCUGCCUGUAAGUUGGGGAUAACUCCGGGAAACCGGGGCUAAUACCGAAUGAUAGAAUGUGGCGCAUGCCACGCUUUUGAAAGAUGGUUUCGGCUAUCGCUUACAGAUGGGCCCGCGGUGCAUUAGCUAGUUGGUAGGGUAAUGGCCUACCAAGGCAACGAUGCAUAGCCGACCUGAGAGGG